CUCGAGGUUGAAAUCGAGUCAUGAUUAAUGAUCAACGUUCACCUUUACCUUGAAUCCACCUGCUCAAGCUACUAUUGUAAGCGAGCCCUCACCUCGCUAUUGCUGACAAAAGAUUGCAGAAGCUCAACUGAGGCCACUUGGAGCAGAUGCUGACUACCAGAAGUCUGCGACCCAUUGACUUCAACAGACAUCUUCCCUGGUGAUGAGGAGACAAGAUGUUGCUGUACGCCUCAGAACUCAUCCCGAUGUCAGCAGUUACAUCAUCAAUCAUCAUCAAUGAAGAAAGUGCUCUUCUAGCCAUCACUCUGGUAUAGUACAUGUUUAUCUUUCUCUCAUCAGGCCACAAUACUUUUUUCUAGAAUUCUGCAUGCUCAAUUAGGUGCAUUGUAGAACCUCUUGUUUUUGCACCUUGCUUUCCUGCCUUCUUAGUUCACCUGGUUAAGUGUUCUGCAUAUUGUAGCGUCUGGCGGACAGUGUCUCAAACCCGUGACCCGGAGCUCCCCAGGUGGACGCACUAGCCACCGCUCCAAAUAGGGACGUCCAAUUUGGAAGGGCGAGUAGUGGUCAUACCAAGGUGCCUGCAGUAUGAUAGUGUCUCACACAUCCACAUCUACUUCCUGGACAGUGUUCCUGAUAUGGCAGACUGUCUUUCUUUUUUUGCAUUGUAAUGUGAUUUAUGUAGCACAAUCUGCUCUCUCUUACCAUUUCAUUUGAAUGAAGUGUCUAAUGUGAGUUAUACAGCACAAGUUGUUCUCUCUUACCAUUGUAUGCGAACAAAGUGUAUAAUGUGAUUUAUAUAGCACAAGCUGUUCUCUGUUACAAAUUCAUGAGAGCGAAGUGUGUAAUGUGAUUUCUAUAGCACAGGUUGUUCUCUCUUACCAUGUGAAUGUAGUGUGUAAUGUGAUUUAUAUAGCACAGGCUGUUCUCUCUUACCAUAUGAAUGUAGUGUGUAAUGUGAUUUAUAUAGCACAGGCUGUUCUCUCUUACCAUGUGAAUGUAGUUUGUAAUGUGAUUUAUAUAGCACAGGCUGUUCUCUCUUACCAUGUGAAUGUAGUUUGUAAUGUGAUUUAUAUAGCACAGGCUGUUCUCUCUUACCAUGUGAAUGUAGUUUGUAAUGUGAUUUAUAUAGCACAGGCUGUUCUCUCUUACCAUGUGAAUGUAGUGUGUAAUGUGAUUUAUAUAGCACAGGCUGUUCUCUCUUACCAUGUGAAUGUAGUGUGUAAUGUGAUUUAUAUAGCACAGGCUGUUCUCUCUUACCAUGUGAAGUGAAGUGUGCAUCGAGAAUGACGACAGCAUCAAGCCUUAAGACGUUGCUGUUAAUUAUCCUACAUUAAAUUUGUCAAUCAUGACUGG
Molecule: long non-coding RNA, 1353 nt
Organism: Esox lucius (northern pike)
Lineage: Eukaryota; Metazoa; Chordata; Actinopteri; Esociformes; Esocidae
Source: Ensembl